This 500-nucleotide ribosomal RNA is filed under the name uncultured bacterium. RNAcentral's name for it is "partial 16S ribosomal RNA". It matches the Rfam family "Bacterial small subunit ribosomal RNA", at positions 30 to 523 of the family's 1533-position model. The record is from RNAcentral.
AUUAAACGCUGGCGGCAUGCCUUACACAUGCAAGUCGAACGGCAGCGGGGACUUCGGUCCGCCGGCGAGUGGCGAACGGGUGAGUAAUGUAUCGGAACGUACCAUUCAGUGGGGGAUAACUAUCCGAAAGGAUAGCUAAUACCGCAUAUUCUGUGAGCAGGAAAGCAGGGGAUCGCAAGACCUUGCGCUGAUUGAGCGGCCGAUAUCAGAUUAGCUAGUUGGUGAGGUAACGGCUCACCAAGGCUACGAUCCGUAGCGGGUCUGAGAGGAUGAUCCGCCACACUGGGACUGAGACACGGCCCAGACUCCUACGGGAGGCAGCAGUGGGGAAUUUUGGACAAUGGGCGCAAGCCUGAUCCAGCCAUGCCGCGUGAGUGAAGAAGGCCUUCGGGUUGUAAAGCUCUUUCGGCCGGGAAGAAAUCGCAUCAGCUAAUACCUGGUGUGGAUGACGGUACCGGAAUAAGAAGCACCGGCUAACUACGUGCCAGCAGCCGCCGUAA